UCCGGUUGAUCCUGGCAGAGGCUAUUGCUAUCAGGGUUUGACUAAGCCAUGCGAGUCGAGAGGUGAAAGACCUCGGCAUACUGCUCAGUAACACGUGGAUAAUCUGCCCUCAGAAGAAGAAUAAUCCCGGGAAACUGGGGCUAAUACUUCAUAGGAGACGGGUGCUGGAAUGCUCUGUCUCUGAAAGGUCCGCCGUCUGAGGAUGAGUCUGCGUCCGAUUAGGUUGUUGUUGGGGUAACGGCCCAACAAGCCUUUGAUCGGUACGGGUUGUGGGAGCAAGAGCCCGGAGAUGGAUUCUGAGACAUGAAUCCAGGCCCUACGGGGCGCAGCAGGCGCGAAAACUUUACAAUGCGAGCAAUCGUGAUAAGGAAACCCUGAGUGCCUGUCAACGCAGGCUGUUCUGGUGUCUAACACACACCAGGAGAAAGGGCGGGGCAAGACCGGUGCCAGCCGCCGCGGUAAUACCGGCUGCUCGAGUGAUAGCCACUUUUACUGGGCUU
Molecule: ribosomal RNA, 500 nt
Filed under: uncultured methanogenic archaeon
Lineage: Archaea; Methanobacteriati; Methanobacteriota
Description: bacterial SSU rRNA
Rfam family: Archaeal small subunit ribosomal RNA
Source: RNAcentral